UACAGAGGGGGCAAGCGUUGUUCGGAAUUACUGGGCGUAAAGGGCGCGUAGGCGGCCUUCUAAGUCGAACGUGAAAUCCCUGGGCUCAACCCAGGAACUGCGUCCGAGACUGGUGGGCUCGAAUCCGGGAGAGGGAUGUGGAAUUCCAGGUGUAGCGGUGAAAUUCGUAGAUAUUGGGAAGAACACCGAUGGCGAAGGCAGCCAUCUGGACCGACACUGACGCUGAGGCGCGAAAGCGUGGGGAGCAAACAGG
RNAcentral lists this ribosomal RNA (253 nucleotides) under uncultured bacterium. Its description in RNAcentral is "partial 16S ribosomal RNA". It matches the Rfam family "Bacterial small subunit ribosomal RNA", at positions 524 to 776 of the family's 1533-position model. The record is from RNAcentral.